Molecule: transfer RNA, 71 nt
Filed under: Ovis aries (sheep)
Lineage: Eukaryota; Metazoa; Chordata; Mammalia; Artiodactyla; Bovidae
Rfam family: tRNA
About the family: Transfer RNA (tRNA) molecules are approximately 80 nucleotides in length. Their secondary structure includes four short double-helical elements and three loops (D, anti-codon, and T loops).
Source: Rfam by way of RNAcentral
UCCCUGGUGGCUCAGACAUAGAGCAUCUGCCUACAAUGCAGGACACCCAGGUUCAGACCCUGGGUCGGGAA